This 430-nucleotide ribosomal RNA is filed under the name Bacteroidota bacterium. RNAcentral's name for it is "Bacteroidetes bacterium partial 16S ribosomal RNA". It matches the Rfam family "Bacterial small subunit ribosomal RNA", at positions 355 to 776 of the family's 1533-position model. The record is from RNAcentral. Lineage: Bacteria; Pseudomonadati; Bacteroidota.
UAGGGAAUCUUCGGCAAUGGGGGGAACCCUGACCGAGCAACGCCGCGUGAGUGAAGAAGGUUUUCGGAUCGUAAAGCUCUGUUGUUAAGGAAGAACGAGUGUGAGAAUGGAAAGUUCAUACUGUGACGGUAUCUAACCAGAAAGCCACGGCUAACUACGUGCCAGCAGCCGCGGUAAUACGUAGGUGGCAAGCGUUGUCCGGAUUUAUUGGGCGUAAAGCGAGCGCAGGCGGUCAAUUAAGUCUGAUGUGAAAGCCCCCGGCUCAACCGGGGAGGGUCAUUGGAAACUGGUUGACUUGAGUGCAGAAGAGGAGAGUGGAAUUCCAUGUGUAGCGGUGAAAUGCGUAGAUAUAUGGAGGAACACCAGUGGCGAAGGCGACUCUCUGGUCUGUAACUGACGCUGAGGUUCGAAAGCGUGGGUAGCAAACAGG